AAACCACACAUCACUCGGUGUCGUGUUGGGUAGUUUACACAAAGAGUCUCUAUCAUUACUGCAGCCGCCUGCACGUUCCCCUUUCAAAACCCCAACCGAGUGACAUUUCAGCAGAACGGUUAAAGGAACUUAAUUUUUAAAUAAAAAGUUACUGCUGGAAACCAGUACAUUACAUACUAGCUCUGCCCCAAGUUCCAAGUAUGGUCACGUCUGAAUAAUUCCAACCUUUUAGUGACGGGGAUUAUAUAGGCCAGUCACUACUUUACACCCCCAAAUCUCCACAACUUUUUCUAUCUUUAGUCUUCAGUCUAUUUACCUCGCUAUAUGGAGGAGUGGUGAAAAUGAAAUGCAACAAAAACAAUUUGAAUAGCUUUUAACAGCUGGUAUAAAAGUUUAUGGCAGACACAGCCUGCAAUCAUUGAAAAUAAGAUUUGAAAAUUAUCUGUAGACCUCACUCUUCAGUUUUGCCGUUUUGCUUGAGUUUGAAUUACAGAAGGUUGGUGGUAUGUAUUAUUUUUAGCAGAAAUACUUUUCUAAGAAUUAUUAAACAGAUUAAAUGUAUAAUAUGGUUAUGAUAUCAGAUCAGGGUAAAACUCCAUUUACAGAAGAAUGUGUUAACCACCUGAUAGGAGACACGUCCUUUUGGUGUAGUACAAUUGGUUGUGUCUUAGAAUUUAAAUACUAGAAAAAGGUAACUUAGAAAACAUUACAGAAUCUUUAUAGUCCUACCUGCCAUCUAAUGAGAAUACUGCCUUCUUAGCACCCUAUUUCUUUCAAUUGCUACUUAUAAGAUGUAAUUUCAAGAUUGCUCAAAGCUUAUGGAUAUUUGUUCAUAAGUAUUUAAUGAGGUCUCAAAAACUGCCUGGCAUUGACCUUGGUGCAGGUGAUGUAAGAGUGAACUAGAUAGAGAGAUGUAAGUCCUCCCUUCCAGGAGCUCACAUUCUAAUGGGGGAGAGAUAGCUACUAAAUAGACAAGUGCAGACAUAAUUAAUGCACCUAUGAAAAGUUGUAUGUGGAAGUAUGGAGUGCUAGGAGAGGACACCCUCCAAAUGGUCUUUUAGAUUGCUAUUUUGUUUUGAACCCUAGAAUUAUUGCAAUGCUGCAAAGAUUUUUUUUUUUUGCUAUCCUUUCUUUCAUAUCUCAUAUUCAGUUCAUCAGGAAAUCCUGAUAGCUCCAGCUUCAAAAUGUUUUCCAAGUCUAACCCCAACUACCCCUCUUCCAAACCAGCAGUGCCCAUUUGGAUUUCUGAAAAAGGCUCUGAACUUGUCUUACUGCUCUUAAUCUUGCCCCUAUGGUCUAUUAUCCAUGUAGAAUUUUGGAUGACCCUUUAAAAGUGUGUGUAUUAGCUCAUGCCAAUCCUCUGCUCAAAAAGCACCCCAUGGCUUCCCAUCACUCAGUCACUUUCCAUGGUGACAGUUCAAACUUGACCUUAGCCACCAAGGCCUUACAUGUCUGCCACCCCACCUCUCUUUACCUCUUUCUCCAUCACUGUCCCCUCCCCAGUCCUGCCACCCUCACUGGCCUUUCUGCUGUUCUUUCAUCCCUUAGGCUCCUGCAUCUUGGUCGUUGAGCCUGAGACACUUUCUCUAAAUAUUUAGAGGCUUGCUCCUCCGUAACAUCAGAUAUUUUCUCCCUUGUCCUCAUGUCAGAGAGGUAAUCCCUGACCACCUAUUCUAAUAUAAUAUACAUGUGCACACAUGCAUGUGCAUGCACACACACACAUACACAUGCAUACAUUUAUUGUUUGCUGUGUCUCCUCUAAAAUGAGAACAACAAUGGUUAUAGUGUCAUGCACAUAGAAGACAAAACAUAAAUAUUUGUUGAAAGAAAGCAUAUAAAUUAUGUAGUGGACUGAAUGUCUCCCCAAAAUUCCUAUGUUGAAGCUCUAACCUCCAGCGUGACCAUAUUUGGAAAUAAGGUCUUUAUGGAAGUAAUUAAGGUUAAUGAGGUUAUAAUUGAAGGGCCCUGAUCUGAUAGGAUUAGUGUCUUCAUAAGAAGAGACACUGGAGAGCUCGCUCUAGUACUUAGGAAAGGCCAUAUGAACACACAGUGAGAUGGCAAUGGUCUGCAAACCAGGAAGAGAAUUCUUACCAGGAACUAAGCCCACAGGCAACUUGAUCUUGGACUCCCCAAAUUCUAGAACUGUGAGAAACAUAUUUCUGUUGUUUAAGUCAUCCCAUCUAUGGUAUUUUGUUAUGGCAGCGUCAGCAGACUAAGACAAAUUAUGAAGAAUGUUAAAGAAAGAGUUUAGAUACCAUCUACACUCAUACAUUAUAUUAUAUAUUAUAGCUAAUCAUUUCAAGAUUACUAAUGCACAAAAUGGUGUGAUGGUGUAACUUUUAGCCAAUGAACAAACUUUGGAGCACCUCCAAGGAUCAUUGAGGUUUGAAGAUUAAUCUUACCUGGACACAAGAAUAGAGUUAAGUAUUUAACACAAACAAAUGCCUUUUAUAACUUUGUUGUUGUUUGUUUCUGAGGGCAUGAAUGACUGAAGCUCGAAGGAAUAAGAAUGGUCUAGUCACUAUCGUGAAAAGUGCUGUUUCAAGAGAGUACAGCCUCUAAACUCCAUAAAAGUUUCCUACUGGUCAAGCUGAAGGACUCUUAAGCUGUGGUGUGCCUAGAACAUAAUCAUGGCCCAUUGAUAUUCAAGUAAAGUAGCAGAUGCUUCAGCUGGAAAAUCUUUAAUCUUUGUGGAAAGAAAUUGAACUUUAAACCUUACACACUGAAAAGAAAAAAAAACUGCUAAGGACAGAUGAAAUUUCUUCUGGGCUCUCUGUUUUCUGCAUCAGCUGUGGACCUUCAUCCUGGCCACUAGGGGACUUUGGUUUUGAUCAUAUUACAAAGAUCUGGCAAUUAAUUAGCAUGAACAGAGUUGUUAAGCAGUUGCAUAAAGAGCUCGCAGUGUUAUAAUCCAUGUUCUUUUAUCUCAAAAAAUUUCUGAGUAGAUGUGUGAUCCACAAGGAUACAUGAUCUGUUAACUCUGAGAAUGAUCACUGAUGACCUGGAGAUUUGUUAGUAUUUGGGGAAGUGUCAGCUAUAUUGGCAACAUUCUUCAAAGAAGCCGUGGUCUCUAGUGGGCCUCAGUGGUAGCCAGACUAGAGAUGGUUUUGCUACUAUUCAAUUCCAUCUGUGGGGGUGGGGUAUGAUUAACAUGAUCCUUGAUUAACAAGAGGAAAGCUUCUCACCAGUAGAGUGGAAGAAACCCCCUUGGGAAGUAGAAGACAUAAUCAGAUUGCCUGGAAAUCAGGCUUUACAUGAACAGUUUAUGGAUGGUUUAUACAGAAAAUAAAAUAUUAAAUUAUCUCUCUUUGGGUAGAGAAUGCAAGGGAAUCACAUAGCACCUCCACAUUUACUUCUCCCAUUUUAGGACAAAUAUUUAGAAGAAGAAGAAGAAGAGGACCCAGCAUAUGAUGUUGCAGAACCAGUUUGGAGACAUAGCCCAAACAUUUAAUAAGAUCAGCCAGGCUUUACCUUAGGAGCCAGGAUGGGGAGGGACCAGGACUACCUCCAAAGGCUCAUUUGCUUCAGCCUGUGCUGUGGAGGUCUGCCUCCCACAAGCUGACUGUAUUGCCUGAUUUCUAAUUAGCUUUCCAACCACAGUCACAGCAUGAAUCUUGGAUCAAGGGUCUCAUCUCCCAGUAAUCUACUGUUAUUUUACUCACAACCUCUGCCUGAAGAACAUAUACCUUUCCUGACCAAUAGUUAUGCCCAUCCUGAGUCUGACAGGCAUGGUUUCCCUACAUGUAAGAAAUGUUUAUUGAUCACCUAAUAGAUGAAAUGCAAAUGUGAGCAGGAAACAGCCCCUAUAUUUGAGAUGCUUCUAGUCUGUGGGGUGGGGGUGGGGGCAAAGGUAAACAGGUAAUUAUAAUAGGAUGUACAAUAGUGGGGUAAACACUGUCAUAAGAACCCAUUGGAGGAGCACUCGUUUUAAUAUUAGGCUCUACUAAAUAGUUCAAAGCAGAACAACUUGCUUUAUUUCUGGUUUUCAAAAUGGCGGCCAUCAUGACUACUAUAUUUGGUUGACUAAGUUCAUUGGAUUCCAGUACCCCAUAGAUGGCUUCUCCCAUGACUCCUAGACCAGGGAAUAAUGGUGUAUGCAUUAGUUGCACACUGUGGAGGCGUCACCGCUCACAGAGUGGCUCCAGCUCCACUUACCUUUCUCUUUGCUAUAGGUGACUGCAGCACAGAUUAAAACUCCUUGGUAACAGCUAGCUGUUCUUUUUGGAGAAUCUGCAAAAGUAAAUCUUCCAUAUCAUGCAGAUAUGGAAGCAGGUGGAAACCCUAAAAGGCAGCCCCUACAGAGGGGGCUCCUUAGACUUCUGCUGUUGAGAGUCCCCACAUCUCAGCCCUGUUCUGCCCUUCCCAAUCCUUGUUCCUCAUCUUUAAUUCUGCAAGACACUCUGGUAUUCUUAUAGUAAUUUUUUAUGCUUGAAUUAUCCAUGUUUUGUGCUUGUAGACCAAGAAUGCUUAUGAUGUGCUUGAAUAUUCUUUAGCUCUAUUUGUGUAAUUUCAAAAAAUAUAUCACUUGUGUUCAGACAAUGCACACCAAUUUUGCUGCUGUUAGCUGUAAGUGCUGAGGAAUGUUUCUGACUUCCUACAACUCCAUCUCUUUAGACAGAAAAGCAGAAUUGAUAUCUCCUGGUUGCUAGGUUCAAAGGUCAGCUGAAGGCAGAAGUGGAAUCAAGACAUCUUCUAGAGCUUUCUCUGCUGCUUACUUUAUUCAAGGCUAAAGGAUUUGGGGGAGAAGAGGACCUAGUCCUUGUAUUUCACUUUGCUAGUGUUUCUUGGCAAGCCAGGACUCUUGCUCUUAACUUCUGAAACCGAUCUAGCUCUUAUGUUUGCCUUAGAUGGGCCAGGAGUCCCACCCACACUAACUCCCUAUAGAGCACCUCAGGUCUCUGCCUCUUUACUGGGAAACCUUCUUCUCUUCUCUGAGCUUUCUUAUAUCUGCCCUGUAUGUGUGUACGUGGAUUAUUCUAAUGAAAUGAUGACUGUGUUGAUUGUGAUAUGGCUCCUCUCCAAGAUGAUACCUCUGAAAUCACCCUUCUCACUGUCUUGCACUACAGCCUAUGGGCAAGUGGCAUUGUCCUCUAACUUUAGUCCAGCUCUUUGGACUCCCACCUGUUUAAGUAUCUUAAUGUUUUUAUAUAAACCACUAAAGUGGAAGCCAUCUGAGUAUCCAAAUCUUCUUCAUCUGGCAAGUCUUAUGUUCUCUUCCACCAAGAAAACCUACUGAAAAUACACUAGUGAUUAUACUAUGCAAUUCUGAAAUUCAUAGCAUUUAAAAAUACAUCAAUGGCUUUUUAAAAAAACAAAUCUGAAUCCCUUUCUUGAUAUGAAAUUCUAUGUGAAUUUCCACUAUAAAAAGUUAAAAAAAAAAACCCAGAAAACAAAAAACAAACACAAGAGUUACUCUGGCGGAGGUAGAAUCUAGGUUGUGGAUGGGGUGGAAGGGGGCUUGGCUGAAGUCCUACUCAUUAGGAGCUUCUCUUCUCUUCUGCUGCUGCCUUGGGAGCUCCCCCCACCUGAAUACUUGGGAUUACCUGGAGCACUGUUUCUAAACCACUGACCUUAAUAUCAUUCAUUUGGCAUUUAUUCAGUUACUGUCUUUAGACAAUUCUUACACUUCAGCCAUAUUAUUACAAUUUGCAUGGUCUUUUAAUUUUCCAAAUAUUUGUUUUGACUUCUCCACUAGAUCAUAAUCUCUUUGAGAGUAUGAAAAGUAUCUUAUGUCACAGGGGAGUCAAAUCAAAAUCCACAUAGACAAAAUCAGUGCUCAGCUCAAGGACACCCUGUCAAUAAUUACUGAUCAAUUGCUAAUUCUGUCUGAUCUCUAACACUCAAGAGAGCAAACUAGUAGGAACCUAGACAUGAAUAGGUAGCAGAUCUAAGUAGCACAGCCAGGUGGUAAGUUGGGUUUUUCUUCUGUAAGAUUAAGAUAUUGACCCCUUACUGCUGACAUUCUUCUAAAGAAUGCUAUCAGGCACAGUGAGUCAGAAGUGUGUACUUCUUAUUGAUGACAGUGUUUGCUUGUUACUGGACUGAUAUGCUCAUCAAAGACUGAGAGCACAGCUCCACCUGUUAUUCCAGGUGUGACAUUCAUGUCAGCAAAGUUUCCAAUCACAAGCAGAAGUGAAAGCAAAUGCAAUUUCUGCUCAGUACACAAGAAACCAGAAAAGAUAUAGGAAACCCAACCCCCUUAUCAAAGCUGGCAGUGUGACUAAUUACAUGGAGAAUGAAUGGGCAAUAUUAUGUGCAACACUUCAACAGUCAGUUUGGGGUGAAAUUUUUCAUUCUGUUCAUUGGUGUUACCACUGAUUAAUAGCCAGCAUGACUCAAAAAAUGUGUUUGUAUCCACAGUAGUUGGCUGACUCACAUGAUUGAGUGUUAUUUAUCCAACAUACACUAUCUGAUGAUAGUUGUAUUUUUCAAUAUGCUUUAUAAUCAGAAACUACUUGUUUCUCUCAAUGUGCACUGAAUGCUUUAUAAAGGAAGAAUAAGCUUAUAUAAUAUCUACUAUAGAAACGGAGUUUUAAAAUUAAUAUCUGUGUUAAAGCUCUGAAUGAUUAUUUAAAUAAAGUUAAAACUAACUUGA
This is a long non-coding RNA of Herpailurus yagouaroundi (jaguarundi), 6595 nucleotides long. RefSeq lists it as uncharacterized. The transcript is spliced from 3 exons. The record is from RefSeq and is a predicted model, not a curated record. NCBI's taxonomy places the organism in Eukaryota, Metazoa, Chordata, Mammalia, Carnivora, Felidae.